RNAcentral lists this ribosomal RNA (319 nucleotides) under uncultured eukaryote. Its description in RNAcentral is "partial 18S ribosomal RNA". It matches the Rfam family "Eukaryotic small subunit ribosomal RNA", at positions 1470 to 1796 of the family's 1831-position model. The record is from RNAcentral.
CCCUUAGAUGUUCUGGGCAGCACGCGCGCUACAAUGGUCUUCGCAAACGGAUGCAUUCUCGAAGGAGAAUGCCAAUCUUGGAAUCUAUGCCUUGGUCGGGACAGUUGCUUGCAAUUUUUCGACUCGAACCAGGAAUUCCUUGUAAUCGUGAUUCAUCACAUCACGAUGAAUACGUCCCUGCCCUUUGUACACACCGCCCGUCGCUCCUACCGAUCGAAGAGUUAGGUGAAUUGUUUUGAUCGAUAAGAUUUGACUAUGGUCAACUCUCGUUGUGAAAUUCUGUGAAUCUGACUGUUUAGAGGAAUGAAAAGUCGUAACA